UACAUUAGCUCUUUUCUAGAAACAUCAACGAUGUGACGUCACAGAAGCAGUGAUGACGUAACAGAAGAACCUGCUUCGUAAGUUAAUUGUUAUACGUCAUAAUCCAAAGUCUUCAAGUUUCCUUGUUUUACAGAAUAUGGUAUGUGACGUCACAGAAGACGGCGAAGCACACGUUGAUGUUGUUGAAGAUGCGGCAGCAAGUCAAAGAAUAAAAAACAAGACGAAGAACAAAGACGAAGACGCCAAUAUAAGGAUGCCGGUUUGAGGUGUUUGUAGGCUUAAGUGUGUAUAGGCCUACU
Ciona intestinalis (vase tunicate) is the source of this 299-nucleotide non-coding RNA. NCBI's taxonomy places the organism in Eukaryota, Metazoa, Chordata, Ascidiacea, Phlebobranchia, Cionidae. The record is from RefSeq and is a predicted model, not a curated record.